RNAcentral lists this ribosomal RNA (240 nucleotides) under uncultured bacterium. Its description in RNAcentral is "partial 16S ribosomal RNA". It matches the Rfam family "Bacterial small subunit ribosomal RNA", at positions 524 to 763 of the family's 1533-position model. The record is from RNAcentral.
UACGAAGGGGGCUAGCGUUGCUCGGAAUUACUGGGCGUAAAGCGCACGUAGGCGGCUUUCUAAGUCGGGGGUGAAAUCCUGGAGCUCAACUCCAGAACUGCCUUCGAUACUGGAGCUUGAGUCCGGAGAGGUGAGUGGGAACUGCGAGUGUAGAGGUGAAAUUCGUAGAUAUUCGCAAGAACACCAGUGGCGAAGGCGGCUCGACUGGCCCGAUACCUGACGCUGAGGUGCGAAAGCGAG